This is an RNA transcript of Sciurus carolinensis (gray squirrel), 5836 nucleotides long. It is a transcript of the gene named zinc finger protein 467, with no coding region annotated. The record is from RefSeq and is a predicted model, not a curated record. The transcript has 6 exons. NCBI's taxonomy places the organism in Eukaryota, Metazoa, Chordata, Mammalia, Rodentia, Sciuridae.
CCGGGCGUCGGGCGUCUGGACCCUCACCUGCACACCUAACCCGCGGUGCACCCUCCCUCGACCCCACUCCCUAAGACCCCCGUCCCCAACCUCCCUAGUCUGGUGCCUCGGGGCUCCGCUCCCGCUUCCUCGGUCCCUUCCCCCUUGAGGGCGCCGCUGCCCCGCUCCCUCUCCCUCGGCGUUUUUCCUUCCCCUCCCCGCGAAGUUUCGGGGCUGUCAGUCUGUCAGUCUUUCGGGCAGUCGGCACCCGGGCUGCAGGCAGCGGGCGCCAUUGUGAGCAGAGCCGGCUAGGACUGGAGGCCCGGGCGCCUGGGUCCCCGCAGCUGGCUGCAGCGCGGAGACCCGCCGGCCCGCCAGGUAAGGGCCGGGGAGGCUCCGGCAGCGGGCGGCUCCGCCCGCCUCCCCUUCAGCGCACACUCGCAGGCUCUGCCCGCUGCGUGCAGGGUCUGUGGCCUGAUCCCCAGGAGGGGCUACUCCCUGUUGCCAUGAGAGAGACUUUGGAGGCUCUCAGCUCUCUGGGAUUCUCUGUGGGACAGCCAGAGAUGACCCCACAAAGUGAACCUAAGGACAGGUCUCAUAAUACCCAGGGGCAGAUGUCCUCCUCCAGUGAAGAGAGAGCACUGGGUACAUGCUCAGGGCACGAAGUCCCUGGCCCAGAGGAAUGUGCUCAGACUGAACAAGCUGAGGCUCCCAACAGGGGAGGACGAGCGUGUACCCCACAGAAGGCUGAGCCUGUGGGCUCCUGUUCUGGGGACGAGUGGAUGAUUCGGAAGGUGAAGGUGGAGGAUGAGGAUCAGGAGGCAGGAGAGGUCGAAUGGCCCCAGCAUCUGUCGUUACUUCCCAGCCCUUUCCCUGCGCCUGAACUGGGGCAUCUGGCUGCUGCGUACAAACUGGAACCAGGGGCCACGGGAACAUUAGGCGGGAUCGCGCUGUCCGGGUGGGCCCCAAUCCCGGAGAAGCCAUAUGGCUGCGGGGAGUGCGAGCGGCGCUUCCGGGACCAGCUGACGUUGCGGCUGCACCAAAGGCUGCACCGGGGUGAGGGCCCCUGCGCCUGCCCGGACUGCGGCCGCAGCUUCACGCAGCGCGCUCACAUGCUGCUGCACCAGCGCAGCCACCGCGGAGAGCGGCCUUUUCCGUGUUCCGAGUGUGACAAGCGCUUCAGCAAGAAGGCCCACCUGACCCGCCACCUGCGCACGCACACGGGCGAGCGGCCCUACCCAUGCGCGGAGUGCGGCAAGCGCUUCAGUCAAAAGAUACACCUGGGUUCCCACCAGAAGACCCACACAGGCGAGCGGCCCUUCCCCUGCACCGAGUGCGAGAAGCGCUUUCGCAAGAAGACGCACUUGAUCCGGCACCAGCGCAUCCACACCGGCGAGAGGCCCUAUCAGUGCACGCAGUGCGCACGCAGCUUCACGCACAAGCAGCACUUGGUGCGACACCAAAGGGUGCACGAAGCUGCUAGUCGAGCCCAGCCCUCUCCAGACACGCCCGCCUCGCCGCAUUCCCCAGCCGCGUCCCCCACCCCGUCCCCUCCCGGGCCGAAACCAUUCUCCUGCUCCGAUUGCGGCCUGAGCUUCGGCUGGAAAAAGAACCUCGCCUCACAUCAGCGCCUGCACCGCAGCGAAGGUCGCUCCUUUGGGUGCGACGAUUGCGCACUGGGAGCCACCGUGGACCCUGCCGCCCCCGAACCCUUGGCCUGCGCGCCCCGUGGGCCAAGCUGCGGCCCUGAGUCCGGCACGGCGACGCCCCAGCGCACCCCCUCGGGCGAGCGGUCCUUUUUCUGUCCCGAUUGCGGGCGCGGCUUCGCUCACGGACAACACCUGGCGCGACACCGGCGCGUGCACACCGGCGAAAGGCCCUUCGCCUGCGCGCAGUGUGGCCGCCGCUUCGGCUCGCGGCCCAACCUGGUCGCCCAUUCCAGGGCCCACAGCGGCGCCAGGCCUUUCGCCUGUGCUCAGUGUGGUCGCCGCUUCAGCCGCAAGUCGCACCUGGGCCGUCACCAGGCGGUGCACACGGGCAGUCGCCCCCACGCCUGCGCCAUCUGUGCCCGCAGCUUCAGCUCCAAAACCAACCUGGUCCGCCACCAAGCGAUCCACACCGGCUCGCGCCCGUUCUCCUGCCCUCAGUGCGGCAAGAGCUUCAGCCGAAAGACCCACCUGGUGCGGCACCAGCGCAUCCAUGGCGAAACGGUGCACCAGGCCUCAGAGACCGACCUCGCGGCCUCAGCCUGGCCGGCUCCCACAGAGAUGGCACCGCCUCCGCUCUUCUUCUGAGCCGCGUUCUCACUAGGAUCCUUUCUUUGCUCGCAGAUUCCAGAGACCUGUGUGCCAGAAGGCCUGGGCUGCAGCUGAAGGCCUGAACUCCUUUGGCCACUAUCCUAUCUUCAGCGUCUGGGGAGACAUCCGCCAAGCAUACCCAGCUCUGGCGUUAUGACAAAGAAAGUGCAGAGAGAACCCUUGCCUCGCACCAUGGGAAAGCAGUCAUUUCCUGGGCCGGGAAUGGCCAAGGGCCGACUGGGUGGGGAACCUCUACCCAGAGUAAAGAUUCUGUGUACUUCAAGUAGCAUUAAAGUUCGAAUCUGAAGUUCUGGGGCUUUUACCCGAGCUGGGGGAGGCAAGCCGGAGUCUUCUGUCCACAUUCCCACCUCCAUCCACAGGAAAAGCCCCUUCCCUUUUUGUCAAAGGAUGGUUGAAUUUAGCCUGCUGCUGUUAGUUGGUUUUUUCCAGGUCAAAAUGUUAUAUGCUACCCUGGUUCCUGCUUCUAGUUCAGAUAUUUGACAAGAAUGAGAUCUUCCUGCACAUUCCAUUGCCCUCCUGCCAGGAGCUGAAGACUAGGCCUGAAGGGAAGGCAGAGAGGGGCGGGCUGCACUUUGGCCAUCCCCUAGACUUGGAGCUCUGUGCUCCUGCUUGUUUGCAGCUCUCAAGACCAAGGGGCUUCCGACAGCAGCUUCUCCUGUCACCUGCCUGGGCAGUGGGGAAGGAGGAAAGGUCAACGGUGAAGGAAGUUUGCUUUCACAUCACAUCACACGCUCCACCAAGUGCUCUCCUGGUGAGGGUUGCCUGCUCAAGAGCCUCCACAAUGGCACUUGCCCAGCCCAGGCAGCAGUGUGAGCUGGGGCUGGCUGGCAGUGAGGGGAAGGGCAGGGGAACGGGGGCUAGCUGGACUUGGAGUGGCAGUCCUGGGUUUGACCCCUCCUCUGUGUCACCAGGGACUUGACUUUCUCAUUAAAAUGAGAAUUGAUAUUGACAAGGGCUGAGACCCUUCCUGGUUCAACAUCACUAGUGCCAAAAAAUAACCCUAGCUCACUAUGUGCCAAGCAUGGCAGUAGGCACUGGGAACAAUAAGCAGCCAGAGAGCAAGGACCCUGCCUCACAGAGCUCACAGUCAGUGUAAGUGCAGUCACGGGGUACACACCGAGGCUCUGGAGUGCAGAGGAAGGACAUCCAAAGUCUCGAAGUCCAGGGAGGUCAGAAGGAGGAGGACACUGCUGAAGCAAGGUGUGAAGAGGCAUAGGAGGCAUGGGGUGGGCAAGGUACAGGGGGGAGAGGAGAGCGUGUGGGAAGUCCAAGGCCCAGCGUGGCCAGAGGGCAUGAGAUGCCAGAGAGGUGCCUGAGCUAGAAAGGCGUUCAGCACAGUGCAGGAGCUUAGACCAUAUCCUAGGGAGGGGGAACCACAGCAGGGUUCAGGCAGGGCGGGGACAUGGCCAUGUUUACAUUCACGCAUUUUAGAAAGAUGCUGGCCUGAAGGGAGUGAGUCUGGAGGUCUGCACUUCAGUUGUCCACGUGCCAGGUUGUGGUGACCUUGGACCGUGGUUGCAUCAGAGGGGAUGGAGAAGUGAUGGUUUCAGGAGACACUUAACAGGCAGAUGGUAUAAGACUCUUUGAGAAGGAAUGGGGACAUCGGUGGGGUUGGCCUGAUUUCUGCUUAGGAACUGACUAGAUGACAUGACUUUCCCUCAAGAAGUGUUACCCAGGAGGAGAAGCAGUAUGCUAGGGGACCAGUCUUGCACCUGCUGAGCUGAUAUGACCCAUUAGAAGUAGACCCUACAGGUGCUGAGGACAGGAGAGGACUGGAAUGGAGACAGGUGGGCCUGAGAACCAUCCAUGUGUUUUGAAAGCUGUGGGGUAUGGGUGGCUCCUCAAAGAACUGCACGUGAAGUGAGAAAAGAGGAGGCCUGGAUCAGAACCCAUUGGAACAUCAGGAUUAAGGGAUGACAUUGAGAGAAGUCUGAAAAGAUUGGGAAUGUGGAGGGCAUUGGAGAAUGGAAAGGAAGACCCGAGAGGGGACAAAGAAGGAGCCAAGGAAAGAGCUUCAGGAUAAAGGAAGCAGGACGGCUGUGGACCAGUCACAGGAGUCAGGACAUCCAAUUCCUGGGAUUCUGCAUCGAGGCGAUCAUUGGCAGAGGGUUGGACAUCAAGAGGAGACAUCUGCAAGUCUCAAGUCAGAAAGAUUCCAGGUGUGUCCAACUUGACUGACUCAGGCAGGCAGGAGACUCCGGCAUUUUAAUCUGCCACUCAUAAAGAUUGACUGAGCUUUCAGCUCUACCCAGCCUUAUGCAGACGUUGCAGGGAACAGAACAAAAGCUCUUGCCCCCUGGAGUUGAUUGUUCAGAUGUAGGACAAACUUGUGGCUCACUUGGGCCCUACAUGCUGGGUGCUCUGGGAGACCAAAGGAGUAAGAGCCAUAGUCUCUGACUGGUAAACCCAAGCUACUGCUGGAAAAGGCUGGACUUCAUGAUCCACCUAGACUGCCAUGUGUAGUGGGCUGGGCCCAUGUACUGCUUCCUGUUCUUCAGGAUUAAAGUGCAGAGAAAGAGUAGGGUGUGGGCUGGAGUGACCAGGGGUAGUUUCUGGAAGAAGGAGCGUCCUGGGGGAAUCUUGAAGGGUAUUAGGACUGGAAAAGACAAGGAGGCGGCACAGGAACCCUGGAUCAAUCCAAGACCACUGUGCAAUGGGCUCAGGCCACAAGAGGUCAGCUGUUUGUAACUCUAGGUUGGGGAGGAGAAGCGGGUAUCUUGCCUAGUGUCAGUGCAGAGAGAACCCACCUCUGCAGGACUGAUAAAUGUUGGAGGUAAUGGGUGUGAUAAUUACUCAGACUUGAUCUUCACACAUUGUGUAUAUGUACCAAAACAACACACUGCACCCCAUAAAUGUGUACAGUUAUUAGUGUCAGUUAAAAAAACCACAAAACUCUGUACCUAUUAAAUAAUAGCUCCCUAUUCUCCCCUUCCUGCUGCCUUUGGCAAGCAGCAGUCUACUUCCUGUCCCUAUGAAUUUGACCAGUCUACAUGCCUCGUGUAAGUGGGAUCACAUAAUACUUGUCUGACUUUUUUCACUUAGGGUAGUCUUCCAGUUCCAUCCAUGUUGUAGCAUGUAUCAGAAUUUCCUUCUUUUAUUUAUUUAACUUUUUUUAGUGCUGGUGAUUGAACCUAAUUUCCUUUCUCUUUUGAGGCUGAGUAAUAUUCAAUUGUGAAUCUGUAAUACUGUUUGUUUACUCAUUUGUCUGUCAAUGGACAUGGGUUGUUCCACCUGAAGGCUGUCAUGAAUAAUGCUGCCGUGAACAGGAGUUCCUGUUUUCAGCUCUUUUGAGCACACAUCCAGAAAUGGAACUACUAAAUCAUAUGGCAAUGCCAUUUUUAAGUUUUUGAGGAGCUGCCAUACUGUUUUCCACAGUGGCUAUUCCACAUUACCUUCCCACAAGCAGUGUUCAAGUGUUCCAGUUAUGUAGUUCUCCAUCUCAUUGUCUAUGGCUUCACUUUCUGUGGUUUCAGUUAUCUGAAGUUUCAGCUACCUGUGAUCAACCACAGACUAAAAAUAUUAAAUGAAAAAUUCCAGAA